GGCGGACGGGUGAGUAAUACUUAGGAAUCUACCUAGUAGUGGGGGAUAGCACGGGGAAACUCGUAUUAAUACCGCAUACGACCUACGGGAGAAAGGGGGCAGUUUACUGCUCUCGCUAUUAGAUGAGCCUAAGUCGGAUUAGCUAGAUGGUGGGGUAAAGGCCUACCAUGGCGACGAUCUGUAGCUGGUCUGAGAGGAUGAUCAGCCACACCGGGACUGAGACACGGCCCGGACUCCUACGGGAGGCAGCAGUGGGGAAUAUUGGACAAUGGGGGAAACCCUGAUCCAGCCAUGCCGCGUGUGUGAAGAAGGCCUUUUGGUUGUAAAGCACUUUAAGCAGUGAAGAAGACUCCAUGGUUAAUACCCAUGGACGAUGACAUUAGCUGCAGAAUAAGCACCGGCUAACUCUGUGCCAGCAGCCGCGGUAAUACAGAGGGUGCAAAGCGUUAAUCGGAAUUACUGGGCGUAAAGGGAGCGUAGGUGGCUCUAUAAGUCAGAUGUGAAAUCCCCGGGCUUAACCCUGGGAACUGCAUCUGAAACUGUAGAGCUAGAGUAUGUGAGAGGAAGGUAGAAUUCCAGGUGUAGCGGUGAAAUGCGUAGAGAUCUGGAGGAAUACCGAUGGCGAAAGGCAGCCUUUCUGGCAUAAUACUGACACUGAGGCUCGAAAGCGUGGGUAGCAAACAGGAUUAGAUACCCUGGUAGUCCACGCCGUAAACGAUGUCUACUNAGUCGUUGGGUCCCUUGAGGACUUAGUGACGCAGCUAACGCAAUAAGUAGANCCGCCUGGGGAGUACNGGCCGCAAGGUUAAAANCUCAAAUGAAUUGACGGGGGCCCGNCACAAGCGGUGGAGCAUGUGGUUUAAUUCGAUGCAACGCGAAGAACCUUACCUGGUCUUGACAUAUCUAGAAUCCUGCAGAGAUGCGGGAGUGCCUUCGGGAAUUAGAAUACAGGUGCUGCAUGGCUGUCGUCAGCUCGUGUCGUGAGAUGUUGGGUUAAGUCCCGCAACGAGCGCAACCCUUGUCCUUAGUUGCCAGCGGGUUAAGCCGGGAACUCUAAGGAUACUGCCAGUGACAAACUGGAGGAAGGCGGGGACGACGUCAAGUCAUCAUGGCCCUUACGACCAGGGCUACACACGUGCUACAAUGGUAGGUACAGAGGGCAGCUACACAGCGAUGUGAUGCGAAUCUCAAAAAGCCUAUCGUAGUCCAGAUUGG
This 1215-nucleotide ribosomal RNA is filed under the name uncultured Psychrobacter sp. Its description in RNAcentral is "bacterial SSU rRNA". It matches the Rfam family "Bacterial small subunit ribosomal RNA", at positions 97 to 1301 of the family's 1533-position model. The record is from RNAcentral. Lineage: Bacteria; Pseudomonadati; Pseudomonadota; Gammaproteobacteria; Moraxellales; Moraxellaceae.